UACAUCAUAGGCCAAAUACUAUGUUGAUAAGCUUGAAAGCCUGCCCUGAAUCAUCAUCUAUUGAUGGAGAUGGUGUCAUCCUACCUUGAUUGUAUCCAGAAGUUUCAUCCUCAGGAUAAAUGAUGGACACCUCUCAGAUGACCAACCUCUUUUGCUCGACUCUAGGGAAGGUUGCUUCUUGCAUUCUGGCAACUGCCCUCUGUCUACAUGAUUAGACUCGUUGGUUGCAGUGCUUCCUGGAGUAAUGAAGGGAUCUGGGGCACAGGGCUUAACCCACUGGGCACCGUCUCUAAGCCAACUUUGCCUGAAUGGGUCCCCUGUUUUUUUCUUCUGCUCUUGUUGAACCGUGUCUCUAUUCCUCACGCUCCUGGGAAUUUCUUGCUUUGGUCAUGAAAAAAAAAAUGGAAACUCUCUCAAGGACUAACAAUCAGAGCUGCUUGGUUGACAAGGGACGUUAUAGUUGCAAGAAGACCCUGAAGCAAGGAUUCUACAUCAAACAUUCAGGGCAAUCUGAGUUUGUAUUUAAGAUCCUUCUGCCUAUAGCAGUAGCUUAUAUGUUACAUUCAAUUGACAUAUAAGUACUGUGAAGAAAUAUUUUAUUAUGACUACUAAUGACAUUAGCAUUGUAUAUUUCAUAAUGUAAUUGCAGACAGAAAGUUGGUAUAUUUAAUUCAAAUUAUGAUUAUUCUUUAAAAGCAAAACUUGAAAAUUCAGUUUAUAUACA
This is a long non-coding RNA of Sapajus apella (tufted capuchin), 724 nucleotides long. RefSeq lists it as uncharacterized. NCBI's taxonomy places the organism in Eukaryota, Metazoa, Chordata, Mammalia, Primates, Cebidae. The transcript has 3 exons. The record is from RefSeq and is a predicted model, not a curated record.